This 253-nucleotide ribosomal RNA is filed under the name uncultured bacterium. Its description in RNAcentral is "partial 16S ribosomal RNA". It matches the Rfam family "Bacterial small subunit ribosomal RNA", at positions 524 to 776 of the family's 1533-position model. The record is from RNAcentral.
UACGAAGGGGGCUAGCGUUGCUCGGAAUCACUGGGCGUAAAGGGCGCGUAGGCGGCCCGUUAAGUCGAACGUGAAAUCCCCAGGCUCAACCUGGGAACUGCGUCCGAUACUGGCGGGCUUGAAUCCGGGAGAGGGAUGCGGAAUUCCAGGUGUAGCGGUGAAAUGCGUAGAUAUCAUGAGGAACACCAGAGGCGAAGGCGACCACCUGGACUGAUACUGACACUGAGGUGCGAAAGCGUGGGGAGCAAACAGG